AGAUUUGGAAAAGAAAAUACUUAUAGAGAGAGGAUGAAGUUUGAGAAAGUUUAAAAGGAAGUUGGGAGAGAGAUCAAGUGAAGAUCAAGUAGUCGAGCGGAAAAUUUGGACUCUCUAUGGGAAGUCUUGAUUUCCAUGCAGAACAUGAAAAUCCCCUGUUCGGAUUCCAGACUUCCACCAGCAAAGUCCAGAACCUGAACCCAUCAACCUUAAAAAUUUAAAAAGAAAACGCAUCCAAGUUUCAAAAUUUUAAAUUUUAAAAUAUGUGACCAAUAAAAUCCACAAAAAU
RNAcentral lists this long non-coding RNA (289 nucleotides) under Ananas comosus (pineapple). RNAcentral describes it as "long non-coding RNA (ACOM_LNC013697)". Lineage: Eukaryota; Viridiplantae; Streptophyta; Magnoliopsida; Poales; Bromeliaceae. The record is from RNAcentral.